RNAcentral lists this ribosomal RNA (254 nucleotides) under uncultured bacterium. RNAcentral's name for it is "partial 16S ribosomal RNA". It matches the Rfam family "Bacterial small subunit ribosomal RNA", at positions 524 to 776 of the family's 1533-position model. The record is from RNAcentral.
UACGGGGGGGUGCGAGCGUUGUCCGGAAUCACUGGGCGUAAAGGGCGCGUAGGUGGUUUGAUAAGGGUGUGGUGAAAGUCCGGGGCUCAACCCCGGAUCUGCCGUGCCGACUGUCAAACUCGAGGGCUGUAGAGGCAGACGGAAUUCCGGGUGUAGCGGUGGAAUGCGUAGAGAUCCGGAGGAAGACCGGUGGCGAAGGCGGUCUGCUGGGCAGUUUCUGACACUGAUGCGCGACAGCGUGGGGAGCAAACAGG